GAAUAAGAAAGUGUACAGCUUAAUGGAAAAAGAGAUGGAUAGUUUGUGGAAUUUCGUGAAUAUUUUUUGUGAGACUAUCAAAAAAAAAAACGAAAUGUUUGAAUCACCUUACAGGAGAGAGGACCCCAUGGGAUCCAUCUCUCUAUUUCUCUCCCUGUACUUUUUUAGCUAUUGUAUAUAAAUGGGCAACUCUGUUGUAUAGAAAUGGGGUCAUUGCUUUGCUUUUUGCAGUGAAAGGGUGGCAUUGUGCAGGAAGACUUAAGACGUGAAAAGCAGAGAAAGCAUGAGAA
This 290-nucleotide unclassified non-coding RNA is filed under the name Hevea brasiliensis (rubber tree). The record is from RNAcentral. Lineage: Eukaryota; Viridiplantae; Streptophyta; Magnoliopsida; Malpighiales; Euphorbiaceae.